UACGGAGGGUGCGAGCGUUACCCGGAUUUACUGGGCGUAAAGGGCGUGUAGGCGGUCUUCUAAGUCCGGGGCUAAAGACCAGGGCUCAACCCUGGGUGUGCCUUGGAUACUGGAAGGCUAGACGGCUGGAGGGGGCAGCGGAAUUUCCGGAGUAGCGGUGAAAUGCGCAGAUACCGGAAGGAACGCCAAUAGCGAAGGCAGCUGCCUGGACAGUACGUGACGCUGAGGCGCGAAAGCGUGGGGAGCAAACCGG
RNAcentral lists this ribosomal RNA (253 nucleotides) under uncultured bacterium. RNAcentral's name for it is "partial 16S ribosomal RNA". It matches the Rfam family "Bacterial small subunit ribosomal RNA", at positions 524 to 776 of the family's 1533-position model. The record is from RNAcentral.